CCUACGGGGGGCAGCAGUGAGGAAUAUUGGUCAAUGGACGCAAGUCUGAACCAGCCAUGCCGCGUGCAGGAAGACGGCUCUAUGAGUUGUAAACUGCUUUUGUACGAGGGUAAACGCAGAUACGCGUAUCUGUCUGAAAGUAUAGUACGAAUAAUGAUCGGCUAACUCCGUGCCAGCAGCCGCGGUAAUACGGAGGAUGCAAGCGUUAUCCGGAUUUAUUGGGUUUAAAGGGUGCGUAGGCGGUUGGAUAAGUUAGAGGUGAAAUCCCGGGGCUCAACGCCGGAAUUGCACCUGAUACUGUUGGACUAGAGAGUAGUUGGGGUAGGCGGAAUGGAUGGUGUAGCGGUGAAAUGCUUAGAGAUCAUACAGAACACCGAUUGCGAAGGCAGGUUACCAAGCUACAUCUGACGUUGAGGCACGAAAGCGUGGGGAGCAAACGGGAUUAGAUACCCGAGUAGUC
Molecule: ribosomal RNA, 460 nt
Filed under: uncultured bacterium
Lineage: Bacteria
Description: partial 16S ribosomal RNA
Rfam family: Bacterial small subunit ribosomal RNA
Source: RNAcentral